RNAcentral lists this long non-coding RNA (8922 nucleotides) under Malus domestica (apple). RNAcentral's name for it is "long non-coding RNA (MDOM_LNC010420)". Lineage: Eukaryota; Viridiplantae; Streptophyta; Magnoliopsida; Rosales; Rosaceae. The record is from RNAcentral.
AUGCCAUGCCAUGUCUAAUUCAACAGUUAAGUAUGGAUGCAUCAACAAUAAUCAUAUCAGGUGCAAGAAAGUAAUCAACCGGAGGCCCUCUAAUAGCCAUGUACGGUUGAACCUAGAGCUCAAAAUCUAUCACUAUCACUCUACCGGAGUCACCUCUGUGACCCGUCCGGCCUUCUGCACACAAGUUACGCUCUAGUGCUUCUCAUAAAUCAUCUGUGCACAUAAUCUAAGGUCACCCACCAGUCGGAAUCUCACUAACACUCUCGCGACUGGCCUGUCGUACCCACUCCGCGUGGACUGUACGACUAGCAUCUACUUGGAUCCAAGGCGAGCGUGCGAUGCGGUGAAUACUAUAAGCACUAAACCAUGGUGCAGGAUUUGAGCUCAAUAUAUAUCAUCAUCAUCAUAACAGUAAUUAAAUACUCACCUGUGCGUCCACCGCACCAUUUCAUACAUAUGCAUCAUAAAUCAAUUCUUACCUGUGCGUCCACCGCACCAAUUCAUACAUAUGCAUCAUAAAUCAAUUCUUACCUGUGCGUCCACCGCACCAAUUCAUACAUAUGCAUCAUAUAUUAAUUCAUGCAUGGCAUUUCAACUCACAUUUCUAUAUACUUUUCAUAUAUACUUUUAUGCAUUUUCAUUUAAAGCAUAAUUUCAUGCAUUUUCAAUUUCUGGGAAACGUCAAGUAUAUAUAUAUAUAUAUAUACGGAAAACAAAACUGCCCACUCACCUGGAGUUCGCCCUACAACUCCCUAGCACAAUACGCCAAGGCGUCAUGACGAUCGGCGCCUAAAACAAUAAUCAAUUCCAACCUCAGAAUUCAUAUCGAUAGAAUAUAUAAACUUAUAUAAAAUACGUCACUACGUAGAUUGAUCCGGAAGAUCCACCACUCAGAUUUUAAUCCAUAACUUCCAGAGGUCCACAUUAUACCUCUAGGACAACAUCCUAAAAUUUCAUUACCAUCCAACGGUCGGAUCUCCGUCAAUUUCCAAAACUAAGUGAAGUGACGGUUAACAUUUUUAUAUUAUGGACUUACAAUUCCAAUUCCGGAAGAUCCGUAACUCGGAUUCCCAAUCCGUAAGUUCCAAUAAUCCUCAAAUAUUACGUAUUACAACGUAUCAAAGUUUGGUGACGAUCCAACGGUCGGAUCGUCAAUUCACAUUUUCACCUAAAUGUGAAAAUUAUAAAACGUUAUUUGAACACCUAACCAACAAUCCUCAAUAACUUUCUCAUACGGUGUUCAAUUUAGGUAUAUGAAUAUACCAUAGUGAUCUACUCGACGUCACGGACGUCGACAUAUUUUUAAAAUAAUUUUAUUUUUAUUUUUUAUUUUUACUGUAGCACCUUCUUCUUCCUUGGGUCGCCGGACUGGUUUUUUCCGGCGGCCGUUUUUCUGGGCAGUUUUUCAAAUUGCCAUAACUUUGUCAUUUCUCAACGAAAUCAAGUGAUUCAAAAACGAAAGUUGUAGCCCUUGAAGAGACAAAGAGAAUGGUACCUUGCACAACACCUAGUUAGCCGUGGUUUUGGCCGGAAACUGCCUCGAAAGCCUCGGAGGUCGCCGGAAACUGGGUAUUUUUCAAAUGAGUAUAACUUCUUCAAUACUCAACGAAAUUGAGUGAAACAAAAAUGAAAGUUGUAGUACUUGACGAGACGACGAAGAGAUUGAUACCUAUCUCGACUCCUAACUCGCCGGGGAUUCGCCGGAAAACGCCUCGAAAGCUCCGGCCAAACUUUGAACUUGUCGAUCUCCGUGUUCUUACGUCCAAAAACUUCCAACGAAGCACUCCGAGCUUCCUUGGGACAUCCUAAAGCUCACUAUGAGCUUGGUUUGGCCUAAAACACAACCAAUUCAAAGCUCAUGAACAGUACACAUUCACGGCAACUUUAGAAACUAGGGUUUUCGAAGUGAAACUUACUUGAAAUGGGUAUCAUCGUGAUCGUAUGGUCUUCAGGAGUACGAUGGCACUCUUAAAUCCGUCGUUGGUGGAAGUUUAGGGUGUUUUGUGGUGGUCUUGGUGGUUGCCGUGUGUUCGAGAGGGUGAGAGAGAGAGAAUCUGAAAUGGAAGAAGAAGAAGAGAAGGGAAAGGUUACGGAAAAUGGGGAGGAAAUUAGGGUAUAGGACCCUACCUAAAGUCCCAACACAACAAUAGCUUAGAAAUUUUAGGUAAAACAAACACCAAAAUUACGCACCUUAAUCCCGUUUAAGGGCGUUUUUGUAAUUUCACGUCCUCGGAAUUAAAAAUUCCGGGACGGGCUGUGACAAUCUCCCCUCCUUAUAUAGAAUUUCGUCCCCGAAAUUCCAGCCACCAACCAAACUCUCAAUACUAAAAAAAAUAGCCUCGGAUACAUAUCUCUCAUCCGUUCUUUUGUCUCCCAAGUAGCUUCUUCUGCUGAAUGGUUCAUCCACAAUACUUUUACCAAGCUCACGAUCUUAUUCCUCAUAGUCUUAUCUUUCCAAUCCAGUAUAGUCACUGGUUCCUCAUCAAGUCGAAUCCGGAUUAAUCUCCAAAGGUUGAACCAGAAUCUUAUGCGACAAAUCUGCCACCUAGUGACAACGCAUCGAACACAAAAUACAUUAUGUGCCUUAGCCAAUUCUGAAGGCAUCACAAACUUGUAUGCAACUUCAUCGAUUCCUUUAGUGAUCAAAACGAUCUGAUGUGUCUAAGACUUAUCUUGUCUUCCUUUCCAAAUCUUGCUAUUUCUUUUUCAUGGUGAAAUUUUCCAAAAAUAUCAAACCAUUUACCUUACACACUCGAUUAGUGGCAUAUCCAUCUGUUGAUCUCUUUUUGCCAUUCAUGGUUACUUCAGGUUAACUUAAUCACCUUAAUACUUUGAGGAGACUCAUCCAUAGUCUCAGGGUCUACUAAAACUCUUUCUUGAUCGAAUCUUUCUCUACCCAGAAACAUUCCAUUCACAAGUCAUCAAAAAACCGACUCACAUGACACAUUUCAUGGUCCUUUAUGGCGUUACUUCGGAAACUGCACAACCAACAUACUUAAGAAACUUAGCAGUUCCGUAAUCUAAUUCUCUUUUCCAUAAAACAAAUAAGUAGUGUUGCACUAUCUGGGAAAGGUUGUUACUCAACACUGGAGUAAAUGUACUAACUUGUUACUUAACAAGUAUAACUUCUUCUCGAUCUUCCAUUCUUAAUUUUUCUUCCGUUGGUUUUCAAUCCACAAGAUGAUACUCUUGGCAACGUGCCAGAUAUUAAUCUUACUGUAGUCUUCUCACCAAGUGCUUCAACUAGAACAAACUUUACGAUCACCCUGAUCGUACAAUCAUGUUCAUUAAGCAAUACAAUUCACUUUCGCUGCCUCAUAUCAAAAUCCUUCCAAGUAAUGGAUAUUGAAGACUUUUUGGAUUCGUAAAAAAAAUCUUGCAUUCCUACUAAAAUAUAAUGUCUCCAUAACUUCACAGCAAGAAUGGUAAUCGUGACUUCCAAAUCACCAGUAGGGUAAUUCAUCUUAUGAGAUUCCAUUCAUCGUGGAACGUAUGCAAUCACCCUAACAUUUGCAUCAACAUGCCUCCAAUACCAUUCAAGAAACAUCACUAAAAAUUUAUGAUUACCACUAUUCUCUGGGAAUACCAAAAUACGUGCAUGAGUGAGGAAAUACUUCAGUUGUUGAAUCCUUUGCUCACAAUUUCCUUCCCACUCAUACAUGACCUCUUUUCUCAACAGUCUCGUCAAUGACAAAGCAAUGACUGAAAAAUCUUUCACAACCAUCCAAGAUAGCCUGGUAAGCUAAGAAAUUCCAAAUCUCAAUUACGACUCGUGGUUGUUCCAAAUUCUCAAUUUCUGCUAUCUUUUAAGGAUUCACUUGAAUACCUUAAGAAUAUAUAACAAAUCUCAGAAUGCCACCUGAUUCAUCUAACUUUAGCAUUUGCUACUUAGCAUACAACCGACAUUCUUCCAAUCUUUGUUCCACCGACUUAAUACGUUUACAUGCUCUGCUCUGGCUCAGAAUAUGCCAGAAUAUCUUCAAUGAAAAUGAUAUCUAUUUAUCAAGGCAUUAUUGGAAUACUUCAUCCAAUAACUCAUAAAACAGCAUGAGUAUCCAUAUAGCAUCACCAAACUUCAUAAAGACUAUAACGAGUCCAGAAAACCAUCUUAUGAUCAACGUCACUUAUAAUAUUCAAUUGGUAGUAACCAGAUCUCAAUUCAAUCUUUGAAUCUUCGCAAUUACUUCUGAGCUGGUUAAAUAAACAUCAGUACAUUACCAUGGAUAACGGUUCUUAAUCGUUACCCGACUCCAUUGUCUAUAAUCAAUGAACAAUCUCUAAGUCCAUUUUCUUUCUCACCAACAAACUGGUGCUCCUCAAAAGUGUUGUACUAGGUUGAAUGAAACUUUUAUCAACCAAUUCUUUCAACUGAAUUUCCAAUUCCCUUAACUCAUCCUGAACCAAUCUUUAACAUAGAUUUAUACCUGGCAACAAUUCAAUAGUGAACCUCAUAUCUCUGCCCGAAGGCAAUCCAGGUAUACUUUCAGGGAAGACAUCAAGAAAGUCUAACCCCUUUUGACAUUAUUCACACUACUCCAAACAACAUCAUUUAGCACCACAUGAGCUAAUAUUUUUGACAGCCUUUCAAAAACAAUCUCUUUGCUCUCACAGCGUAAAUAACGGCCUGACUCAAUCCACUUUGCAUACUUACAAAAGUAAUCUCUGGUCAUCCAGAUCGAUGGAAAGUGACUGGUUUCCCGUAACAAUCCAUUUAGUCACAAUUAUAACCAACCAAUCUAAUGGAAAUAAUUUAACCGACACAAUAUAUAUUUCUAUUAUUAUUAAGCAUUCUAAAUAAGUACAAUACUAACAUAAAAUAAUCUACCAGGUUGCUUGCUUAACGAAUCCACGAAUGAGUUAUUAAUAUUACGGUCUGCAGCCCGCAAUACUGAUAAAUCAUCGUUGUCUCGAUAAGUAGGCAACCACUCUCAAAGAUAUAACAUUACUAUUUUGUUACUCAAUGCAAAAUACAUACACUCGUCUCAACUACAUUUAUUUACUACUUUCUAGGUAAUAACAUACAUAAUAAGAAAUAUAUCAGCCGAAGUCAACUAGAAUGACCAAUACGGUUGAUUCAACUCUUAUCUUAAUAAUACGUCGGCCGGAUCCACUUCGCGUGGUCGGUACGGCCGAGCCUAUAACUCACUAAUUUCUCAUGGUCUGUACAGCUGAACAUAUAACUCAUCAAAUCUCUCUGUACUCACGGUCAAUCCGACCAAACUACUAAGUCCAUAACUCUGCUGAAUCGACACUAUGAUAUCAUGGAAAAUUAUUGAGUACAACUGAUUCUAGGGACGAUUCACAAUUCUGUGUGUCCCCUCUGUUCACAUAAACACAUUCAUUAAUUUCACACUUCCCAAAGUGUUAAUUUUUGUACCUGCUGCACAAAGUACAUUUCCUUUACUCGAGACACCUUGUCUCAAAUAUCUGGGAUUACCAGUAUAUCCAUCACUUUUACUCUGACCAGCGACAUUAAAACCUCAACUGGAAAAAAUUAACUCUAGCUUCACUUCUUUUGAAGCUCUGAGUCUUUCGAUAUUCUUGAUAUGACGAAUCAUUAACUUUAUCGUUCUUUCAUCUAAUUCCCAUUCUUUUCUUAUUCAUCUUUACUCUCGCUGAUCAUAUUCUCAGAGUCCUCAAGGCUCAACAACAUCUCAUAUACUCCUGGUAAGAAAUACCAUGGAUAGGGGUCACCCAAAAAUACCACUUCCUUUUGUCACCCAGCCUAAAACAACAUAACACCUCCACCAAAUUCACAACAAUAUCUGGAUGGAACGAGGCAAGUCUGAAAAUUUUCUAUAAUAUCCCUCGAUCAUCACCUUCCUUGUCUCAUAUUUGUAAACUCUUGUUUACUACCAUCAAUAAAUGCCAGAGGGAUAAACUUUUCCUUAAACAAUUUUAAAUCGGUUGUUCCUCCGAUGACAACAAAUCAUACUCCUGUUUCCACCAGGAUACAAAUUCAUACCCAAAACCAGGUAGUCGUCUCGACCCCCUGUCAGAAGGAAGAUUCCUUUGACUUGCAUAAUCUGAAACAUCUUUUCCAAAUGGUUAAACCGUUACUUCGCUCCCUCAGGUUCAUCAUUUCAUAAGGUGAUUCAAAUUCGACUCAUAACCCGUCUUAAAAUGUCCAUUUUUAUAAUAGACUGAAUCACCAUAAUAAUAGUUUUCCCUAAACCACUAUAUUAGGGAGACUAAAUUCCUCUAACUAAGUGGCUUGCUACAAGGCGGUGUAGUUCUGACAGAAUUCACUAGAACUUCUCAAAAUGUCCAAGAUUGCAACCAUGCUCUGAUACCAACUGACACACCCCGUCCCGAAGGAGGGCAUGCUGGCCGUCACGUGAGAGUGACGUAACCAUUUGCACAGUACGGAAGCUUUAAGAUACAAUUUAUAAGUUGAUACACCCGAAGGUGAGUCCUAAUUUUGUCCAAUCUGUCAGAACCCCGCUGUAUUCCUCGUAGUCACCACACCUUUGUGAUUCCUGAACCUGGAGGGGCGCAAAACCAAAAUUGAGUGGGUCAGUAAAACAAUUCUUUUCCAAAUCCAAACAUUUUUCAAAACGUUGUAACCCCUCUCUGUAAAACCUGUAUAUUUUCCCAGAAAUGUAAAAUAUAAAUAUACAUAUAUAUUCUCAAUAUUUUAAUUCAUUAACUCAACAUUUUUUCUUUAUCAAUCAUGCCAUGCCAUGUCUAAUUCAACAGUUAAGUAUGGAUGCAUCAACAAUAAUCAUAUCAGGUGCAAGAAAGUAAUCAACCGGAGGCCCUCUAAUAGCCAUGUACGGUUGAACCUAGAGCUCAAAAUCUAUCACUAUCACUCUACCGGAGUCACCUCUGUGACCCGUCCGGCCUUCUGCACACAAGUUACGCUCUAGUGCUUCUCAUAAAUCAUCUGUGCACAUAAUCUAAGGUCACCCACCAGUCGGAAUCUCACUAACACUCUCGCGACUGGCCUGUCGUACCCACUCCGCGUGGACUGUACGACUAGCAUCUACUUGGAUCCAAGGCGAGCGUGCGAUGCGGUGAAUACUAUAAGCACUAAACCAUGGUGCAGGAUUUGAGCUCAAUAUAUAUCAUCAUCAUCAUAACAGUAAUUAAAUACUCACCUGUGCGUCCACCGCACCAUUUCAUACAUAUGCAUCAUAAAUCAAUUCUUACCUGUGCGUCCACCGCACCAAUUCAUACAUAUGCAUCAUAAAUCAAUUCUUACCUGUGCGUCCACCGCACCAAUUCAUACAUAUGCAUCAUAUAUUAAUUCAUGCAUGGCAUUUCAACUCACAUUUCUAUAUACUUUUCAUAUACUUUUAUGCAUUUUCAUUUAAAGCAUAAUUUCAUGCAUUUUCAAUUUCUGGGAAACGUCAAGUAUAUAUAUAUAUAUAUAUACGGAAAACAAAACUGCCCACUCACCUGGAGUUCGCCCUACAACUCCCUAGCACAAUACGCCAAGGCGUCAUGACGAUCGGCGCCUAAAACAAUAAUCAAUUCCAACCUCAGAAUUCAUAUCGAUAGAAUAUAUAACUUAUAUAAAAUACGUCACUACGUAGAUUGAUCCGGAAGAUCCACCACUCAGAUUUUAAUCCAUAACUUCCAGAGGUCCACAUUAUACCUCUAGGACAACAUCCUAAAAUUUCAUUACCAUCCAACGGUCGGAUCUCCGUCAAUUUCCAAAACUAAGUGACGGUUAACAUUUUAUAUUAUGGACUUACAAUUCCAAUUCCGGAAGAUCCGUAACUCGGAUUCCCAAUCCGUAAGUUCCAAUAAUCCUCAAAUAUUACGUAUUACAACGUAUCAAAGUUUGGUGACGAUCCAACGGUCGGAUCGUCAAUUCACAUUUUCACCUAAAUGUGAAAAUUAUAAAACGUUAUUUGAACACCUAACCAACAAUCCUCAAUAACUUUCUCAUACGGUGUUCAAUUUAGGUAUAUGAAUAUACCAUAGUGAUCUACUCGACGUCACGGACGUCGACAUAUUUUUAAAAUAAUUUUAUUUUUAUUUUUUAUUUUUACUGUAGCACCUUCUUCUUCCUUGGGUCGCCGGACUGGUUUUUCCGGCGGCCGUUUUCUGGGCAGUUUUUCAAAUUGCCAUAACUUUGUCAUUUCUCAACGAAAUCAAGUGAUUCAAAAACGAAAAGUUGUAGCCCUUGAAGAGACAAAGAGAAUGGUACCUUGCACAACACCUAGUUAGCCGUGGUUUGGCCGGAAACUGCCUCGAAAGCCUCGGAGGUCGCCGGAAACUGGGUAUUUUUCAAAUGAGUAUAACUUCUUCAAUACUCAACGAAAUUGAGUGAAACAAAAAUGAAAGUUGUAGUACUUGACGAGACGAAGAGAUUGAUACCUAUCUCGACUCCUAACUCGCCGGGGAUUCGCCGGAAAACGCCUCGAAAGCUCCGGCCAAACUUUGAACUUGUCGAUCUCCGUGUUCUUACGUCCAAAAACUUCCAACGAAGCACUCCGAGCUUCCUUGGGACAUCCUAAAGCUCACUAUGAGCUUGGUUUGGCCUAAAACACAACCAAUUCAAAGCUCAUGAACAGUACACAUUCACGGCAACUUUAGAAACUAGGGUUUUCGAAGUGAAACUUACUUGAAAUGGGUAUCAUCGUGAUCGUAUGGUCUUCAGGAGUACGAUGGCACUCUUAAAUCCGUCGUUGGUGGAAGUUUAGGGUGUUUUUUGUGGUGGUCUUGGUGGUUGCCGUGUGUUCGAGAGGGUGAGAGAGAGAGAUCUGAAAUGGAAGAAGAAGAGAGAGAAGGAAAGGUUACGGAAAAUGGGGAGGAAAUUAGGGUAUAGGACCCUACCUAAAGUCCAACACAACAAUAGCUUAGAAAUUUUAGGUAAAACAAACACCAAAAUUACGCACCUUAAUCCCGUUUAAGGGCGUUUUUGUAAUUUCACGUCCUCGGAAUUAAAAAUUCCGGGACGGGCUGUGACAA